RNAcentral lists this long non-coding RNA (630 nucleotides) under Junco hyemalis (dark-eyed junco). RNAcentral's name for it is "lncRNA (ENSJHYG00000005010.1)". The record is from RNAcentral. Lineage: Eukaryota; Metazoa; Chordata; Aves; Passeriformes; Passerellidae.
CUUAACUUAGGACUUGCUCAUCUAGCAAAGCACUGGGAGAAGUGUGAGUCUUUCCAUAGCCAUGUCUGGUUUGUGAAACACCUCCUGUACCUGCAGUGGUAACAAGCAAUAUGACUAAUAUUAGUGUAGAAAGAUGGAAGAACCUGGAAGAGAGGACAGACAAGAAUACCAGCCUUUUGGAAAAAGUCCUUCAUUGUCUCCAUCGUCGAUGUCCUGUGACAUGAGAGCAACUGAUGUGAGCAUGCUCUCAUGACUUGGGAGUACCACCAAGCACCCAGAGAGCAAGAGGGGGGCUGUAGAAAUUUGCUAAAGAGGCGCCAUCAAAGUGAAAACACCAUCAUUCAUUUCCAGUCAAAAGAAAACCAGUGCUGUCCAUGGCCCCUCAAGGGCAGGCAGGGGUUCUGCAGCUGGCUGCUGCUGCUCAAGGUGGGGUACCCACUGCUGGCCAGUGCAAGCUUCUCUCCGCUGUGCAUUCCACACAGACCCUUCACAUCCUCUGUGCUGAGCAUCAGGUAAGAAUAUUUUGAUCCCAUCUCAUGCCCUUGCUCCCUGUUCGCUUGCAUCUCAUACACUUAGGUUACAGGGACACCACCAUCAUCCCACCCAGUCAUGUGCUGGGUCCUGCUGGGG